Molecule: transfer RNA, 72 nt
Filed under: Ovis aries (sheep)
Lineage: Eukaryota; Metazoa; Chordata; Mammalia; Artiodactyla; Bovidae
Rfam family: tRNA
About the family: Transfer RNA (tRNA) molecules are approximately 80 nucleotides in length. Their secondary structure includes four short double-helical elements and three loops (D, anti-codon, and T loops).
Source: Rfam by way of RNAcentral
UCCCUGGUAGCUCAGCUGGUAAAGCAUCUGCCUGCAAUGCAGGAGACCUGGGUUCAAUUCUUGGGUGAGGAA